This 343-nucleotide ribosomal RNA is filed under the name Staphylococcus aureus. Its description in RNAcentral is "partial 23S ribosomal RNA". It matches the Rfam family "Bacterial large subunit ribosomal RNA", at positions 1222 to 1561 of the family's 2925-position model. Lineage: Bacteria; Bacillati; Bacillota; Bacilli; Caryophanales; Staphylococcaceae. The record is from RNAcentral.
ACAAUGGUAGGAGAGCGUUCUAAGGGCGUUGAAGCAUGAUCGUAAGGACAUGUGGAGCGCUUAGAAGUGAGAAUGCCGGUGUGAGUAGCGAAAGACGGGUGAGAAUCCCGUCCACCGAUUGACUAAGGUUUCCAGAGGAAGGCUCGUCCGCUCUGGGUUAGUCGGGUCCUAAGCUGAGGCCGACAGGCGUAGGCGAUGGAUAACAGGUUGAUAUUCCUGUACCACCUAUAAUCGUUUUAAUCGAUGGGGGGACGCAGUAGGAUAGGCGAAGCGUGCGAUUGGAUUGCACGUCUAAGCAGUAAGGCUGAGUAUUAGGCAAAUCCGGUACUCGUUAAGGCUGAGC